RNAcentral lists this ribosomal RNA (494 nucleotides) under uncultured bacterium. RNAcentral describes it as "partial 16S ribosomal RNA". It matches the Rfam family "Bacterial small subunit ribosomal RNA", at positions 28 to 507 of the family's 1533-position model. The record is from RNAcentral.
GACGAACGCUGGCGGCGUGCUUAACACAUGCAAGUCGAACGGAAAGGCCUGCUUUCCCUUGUGGAUUGCGGGUACUCGCGUGGCGAACGGGUGAGUAACACGUGAGUGAUCUGCCCCCAACUUGGGUAUAAGCCUGGGAAACUGGGUCUAAUUCCCGAUAGGACUGCAGGGUGGUGCCUGUGGUGGAAAACGAUUUUCUAGUGGUUGGGGAUGAGCUCGCGGCCUAUCAGCUUGUUGGUGGGGUAAUGGCCUACCAAGGCGGCGACGGGUAGCCGGCCUGAGAGGGUGGACGGCAACAUUGGGACUGAGAUACGGCCCAGACUCCUACGGGAGGCAGCAGUGGGGAAUAUGGCACAAUGGGCGGAAGCCUGAUGCAGCGACGCCGCGUGGGGGAUGACGGGCUUCGGGUUGUAAACUCCUUUCGACCGCGAGGAAGCCACCUGGUUGGAAGGGUGGUGACGGUAGUGGUAGAAGAAGCACCGGCUAACUACGUG